UUCAAGAAUUGAUCAACACAUAAGAGCUGGAAAUCAGGACCAUGAACUUAGACAAAAAUCAAGGAAAUCAGGACCAAAAAGCUACCUACACAUUCAAUAUAUAUCCUGAAACAAAAUUCAUGCAUUGGAAUUAAAAGAGAGUGUUGUCACAAACAACUAUCUGAGAUAAUAAAAUGAUAUAUAAUAAACCUUGCAGCAUUACGCCAAAGG
This 210-nucleotide unclassified non-coding RNA is filed under the name Hevea brasiliensis (rubber tree). Lineage: Eukaryota; Viridiplantae; Streptophyta; Magnoliopsida; Malpighiales; Euphorbiaceae. The record is from RNAcentral.